This 1012-nucleotide unclassified non-coding RNA is filed under the name Hevea brasiliensis (rubber tree). Lineage: Eukaryota; Viridiplantae; Streptophyta; Magnoliopsida; Malpighiales; Euphorbiaceae. The record is from RNAcentral.
CCUUACACUCUCUCUUCCGAAACAAUGGCGGAUUCUCCUGGAAAAAGGUGAACUAGUUGAUUAACACUUGGAGACUUAAUCAGGAGGUUGUACCAGUUAUCAUAACAUAUAGGAAGUGGCUGUGAAUCAUGGCAGACUUGGAAAAUUUGCUUCUUGAGGCAGCAGGAAGAACCGGUGCAGCUGGAAGGAACAGGAAUGCGCUUCCACCAUCUAGGAGGCGACGUGAGGGUUCAUAUUCUGAUGGUGGAAGUGAUUCUAGAGAUGAUGAUUCUGAUGAUGAUCGUGGCUAUGCAAGCAGGAAGCCAUCCGGAUCUCAAGUUCCUUUGAAGAAGAGACUGGACCCCACUGAAAGAGAUGAUGAUCAGGGUAGCCAGGAUGAUGGUGACUAUGAUGAUGGGGGUUCUGAUCGUGAGGGUGAUAGCAGUGAUGAAUCAGAUGUUGGUGAUGAUCUUUACAAGGAUGAGGAUGAUCGGAGGAAGCUUGCUCAGAUGAGUGAACUUGAGAGGGAGAUGAUAUUAUCUGAACGGGCAGACAAAAAAGGUGAUAAGAACUUAACUGAGAGAAUUAGAUCAAAACGGGACAGCGAGAGGCCAACUCGAUCCAGAAAAGAGACUCCACCUCUUCCAUCAUCUCGUGGUGUGCGCACAUCGGCUAGAUCUGCAGACAGGGCAGCUGCCAAAGAUGAUGCAUUGAAUGAAUUGAGAGCUAAACGUUUGAAGCAGCAGGACCCAGAAGCUCACCGUAAGAUGAGGGAUGUUUCUAGAGGAACUUCAGGUGGUCGUGGUUUAUCGCCAAUCAAGCGAAAACACUUCACUUCAGCAAGCCUGAGUAGCUCUAGCAGUGAGAGUGAAAGCAGGUCUCAUAGUGAAGAUGAAGGGUCAACAGGUGAUGGUGGAAUGGGAGACAGUGAUGAGGACAGGGAUCCGGGGUCUGAGGGUCCAACGUUUGAUGACAUAAAGGAAAUCACGAUCCGGAGGUCAAAACUUGCUAAAUGGUUUAUGGAACCAUGGUU